This 950-nucleotide ribosomal RNA is filed under the name Phaffomyces thermotolerans. RNAcentral describes it as "SSU rRNA". It matches the Rfam family "Eukaryotic small subunit ribosomal RNA", at positions 862 to 1823 of the family's 1831-position model. The record is from RNAcentral. Lineage: Eukaryota; Fungi; Ascomycota; Saccharomycetes; Phaffomycetales; Phaffomycetaceae.
GUAAUGAUUAAGAGGGACGGAGUCGGGGGCAUCAGUAUUCAAAAGUCAGAGGUGAAAUUCUUGGAUUUUUUGAAGACUAACUACUGCGAAAGCAUUUGCCAAGGACGUUUUCAUUAAUCAAGAACGAAAGUUAGGGGAUCGAAGAUGAUCAGAUACCGUCGUAGUCUUAACCGUAAACUAUGCCGACUGGGGAUGGGCUGGCACACAUUACAAACAUGGCAGCCCGCACCCACCGAGAAAUCAAAGUCUUUGGGUUCCGGGGGGAGUAUGGUCGCAAGGCUGAAACUUAAAGGAAUUGACGGAAGGGCACCACCAGGAGUGGAGCCUGCGGCUUAAUUUGACUCAACACGGGGAAACUCACCAGGUCCAGACGCAAUAAGGAUUGACGGAUUGAGAGCUUCUUCUUGAUUUUGCGGGUGGUGGUGCAUGGCCGUUCUUAGUUGGUGGAGUGAUUUGUCUGCUUAAUUGCGAUAACGAACGAGACCUUGAGCGGGUGUUGGGGAGCUCUAUAUUUCUUAUGUAGAGGCGUUCUGAUACCUGCGACAACUGGCGCAAGCCAGCGGAAGCGAGGCAAUAACAGGUCUGUGAUGCCCUUAGACGUUCUGGGCCGCACGCGCGCUACACUGACGCAGCCAGCGAGUAUAUUUUGAUGUCCUUGGCCGAGAGGUCUGGGGAAACUUGUGAAACUGCGUCGUGCUGGGGAUAGAGCAUUGUAAUUGUUGCUCUUGAACGAGGAAUUCCUAGUAAGCGCAAGUCAUCAGCUUGCGUUGAUUACGUCCCUGCCCUUUGUACACACCGCCCGUCGCUACUACCGAUUGAAUGGCUUAGUGAGGCUCCGGGAGAUGCGGGUGCCGGGGGCGACCCUGGCGCGUGUGCCGAACUCAUCCAAACUUGGUCAUUUAGAGGAAGUAAAAGUCGUAACAAGGUUUCCGUAGGUGAACCUGCGGAAG